Grus americana (Whooping crane) is the source of this 416-nucleotide long non-coding RNA. RefSeq lists it as uncharacterized. The transcript has 3 exons. Lineage: Eukaryota; Metazoa; Chordata; Aves; Gruiformes; Gruidae. The record is from RefSeq and is a predicted model, not a curated record.
GGAUGCCGUCGACUGCACCCGCCUCGCCUGUGCCUGGCCUGGCUCGCCUCGUGGCGUGGGGGCGAAAAGGGACAGGCGGCGGAGCGCUCACCGGCCGUGGACAGGAGCUGCCCUAAGGGAAGCUGGAAUGGCCAGAGAAAGGUGAAGAAGAAGAAGAAGAAGAGAUGGAAGGCUCUCCGGCCGGCAGCUGCCUCCCGCUGCAGGCAAGAGAGCGCCUGCCUCGCCGCGCGGAGGACAGCCGAGCGACCGGAGUGACAGCAAAGGAAAGGCGGAGAGCAGGAGAAAGAAGCGUCUGCGCUGGCAAGCUCUCCCGGCAGCGCCGAGAGCCAGAGCUGCGGUGCUGCUGCGCCGAUGCUCCGUACGUUCGCAGUAACGGGUAGAGCGGAAGGCUCCGUGGCCAGGGAAGAGCGGCACGG